GCUCUGGUGGUGGAAUUGGUAGACACGCUAUCUUGAGGGGGUAGUGUCCAUAGGAUGUGCGAGUUCGAGUCUCGCCCAGAGCACCAUAU
This 89-nucleotide transfer RNA is filed under the name Actinobacillus pleuropneumoniae serovar 3 str. JL03. RNAcentral's name for it is "tRNA-Leu". It matches the Rfam family "tRNA". Rfam says of the family: Transfer RNA (tRNA) molecules are approximately 80 nucleotides in length. Their secondary structure includes four short double-helical elements and three loops (D, anti-codon, and T loops). Lineage: Bacteria; Pseudomonadati; Pseudomonadota; Gammaproteobacteria; Pasteurellales; Pasteurellaceae. The record is from RNAcentral.